RNAcentral lists this ribosomal RNA (580 nucleotides) under uncultured rumen bacterium. Its description in RNAcentral is "bacterial SSU rRNA". It matches the Rfam family "Bacterial small subunit ribosomal RNA", at positions 181 to 760 of the family's 1533-position model. The record is from RNAcentral.
AUUGACCGCAUGAUCGAUGUUUAAUAGAUUUAUUGCUAUCGGAUUGGCUCGCGUACCAUUAGCUAGUUGGCGGGGUAACGGCCCACCAAGGCGACGAUGGUUAGGGGUUCUGAGAGGAAGGUCCCCCACAUUGGAACUGAGACACGGUCCAGACUCCUACGGGAGGCAGCAGUGAGGAAUAUUGGACAAUGGCCGGAAGGCUGAUCCAGCCAUGCCGCGUGCGGGAAGACGGCCCUAUGGGUUGUAAACCGCUUUUGUUGGGGAGCAAUAAGGUCCACGUGUGGAUCGAUGAGAGUACCCAGCGAAUAAGCAUCGGCUAACUCCGUGCCAGCAGCCGCGGUAAUACGGAGGAUGCAAGCGUUAUCCGGAUUUAUUGGGUUUAAAGGGUGCGUAGGCGGACUUUUAAGCGUGAGGUGAAAUGCCCGGGCUCAACCUGGGAACUGCCUCGCGAACUGGGAGUCUGGAAUGUCCGUGCCGUGGGAGGAAUGUGUGGUGUAGCGGUGAAAUGCAUAGAGAUCACACAGAACACCGAUUGCGAAGGCAUCUCACGAACGGAUGAUUGACGCUGAGGCACGAAAGC